AAGACUAUACUUUCAGGGAUCAUUUCUAUAGUGUCUCACUAGAGAAGUGCAUUCGAAAGUGGUCGGUCGAGCGAACCACGAGGAGGAGGCCGAGUGGUCUCUCCUGAGCGGGAAGCUGUCAGGGGGUGCCCCCAGAUGCAGUGGGGUCUCCUCCACUGGGUCAAUGGGGCCUUUCCUUGCCAUUGAGGACCGUUCUGCCUUCCCUUUAUGGGGAGGACGGAGGGAGAGACCACAAGCUGAGUGGU
Molecule: small nucleolar RNA, 245 nt
Organism: Sceloporus undulatus (fence lizard)
Lineage: Eukaryota; Metazoa; Chordata; Lepidosauria; Squamata; Phrynosomatidae
Product: small nucleolar RNA U3
Exons: 1
Source: RefSeq, a predicted model, not a curated record